UUCACUCUGGAGUGAAACAGGAGAAUCAAAUGUCAUCCUAUAAAUGGUGGAGUCUACUUAAAUGAAGCAUCUCAAAAAAAUUUUGUCAAGCUGUGAUCAUCUUAUAAAGUUUCUAAGAACAAUAUCAAAGGAUAUUUUUGUCCAGUCAGUUCAUUCUCUAUAGCUAAGCACACAGUGAGAGAGAGAGAGAGGCAGAGACACAGGCAGAGGGAGAAGCAGGCUCCAUGCACCGAGAGCCCGACGUGGGACUCGAUCCCGGGUCUCCAGGAUCGCGCCCUGGGCCAAAGGCAGGC
Nyctereutes procyonoides (raccoon dog) is the source of this 293-nucleotide long non-coding RNA. RefSeq lists it as uncharacterized. The record is from RefSeq and is a predicted model, not a curated record. NCBI's taxonomy places the organism in Eukaryota, Metazoa, Chordata, Mammalia, Carnivora, Canidae. The transcript has 3 exons.